AUGCAAGUCGAACGAACCUUCGGGUUAGUGGCGGACGGGUGAGUAACGCGUGAGAAUCUGCCCUCAGGAGGGGGACAACAGUUGGAAACGACUGCUAAUACCCCAUAUGCCGCGAGGUGAAAUGAAUUUCGCCUGAGGAUGAGCUCGCGUCUGAUUAGCUAGUUGGUGUAGGUAAUGGCUCACCAAGGCAUCGAUCAGUAGCUGGUCUGAGAGGAUGAUCAGCCACACUGGGACUGAGACACGGCCCAGACUCCUACGGGAGGCAGCAGUGGGGAAUUUUCCGCAAUGGGCGAAAGCCUGACGGAGCAACGCCGCGUGAGGGAUGAAGGCCUCUGGGCUGUAAACCUCUUUUAUCAAGGAAGAAGAUCUGACGGUACUUGAUGAAUAAGCCACGGCUAAUUCCGUGCCAGCAGCCGCGGUAAUACGGGAGUGGCAAGCGUUAUCCGGAAUUAUUGGGCGUAAAGCGUCCGCAGGCGGCCCUUCAAGUCUGCUGUUAAAAAGUGGAGCUUAACUCCAUCAUGGCAGUGGAGA
This 531-nucleotide ribosomal RNA is filed under the name uncultured bacterium. RNAcentral's name for it is "bacterial SSU rRNA". It matches the Rfam family "Bacterial small subunit ribosomal RNA", at positions 55 to 632 of the family's 1533-position model. The record is from RNAcentral.